This 72-nucleotide transfer RNA is filed under the name Camelus bactrianus (Bactrian camel). It matches the Rfam family "tRNA". Rfam says of the family: Transfer RNA (tRNA) molecules are approximately 80 nucleotides in length. Lineage: Eukaryota; Metazoa; Chordata; Mammalia; Artiodactyla; Camelidae. The record is from Rfam by way of RNAcentral. RNAcentral also lists the same sequence under 2 other names.
GUGGGUAUAGCUCAGUGGCAGAGCACAUGCUUAGCAUGCAGGAGGUUCUGGGUUCAAUCCCGGGUAUCUCCA